UCUUGGAGAUUGCACGAAAGUUUGUUGUCCCGUUAAUUUCAAGUUAUUAACAAAUAUUUUUUAAUGUCACUAUCAAGUUUUGAAUACGUGAGUGUUUCCGAAACGAGAUAUUCAAAAAUUCGGAAGAUAUCCGUGAAAAUAAAAUCGAUAUUUGUCAACUAGUCCUACGAGUGUGAAUUUUAGGUUACCGAGCAUUGACAGAGUACUGUACGAAUACACAUUCCCAACCUUACUAGUGUGUUUACUUUUUGAUCUUCUUCAUAUUUGCCAAGGAAAUUCUUCGGGUAAAAGAUUAUACAAUAACAAAAGCACAGCCGGUCGUUCGACACUCAAGGAUGGAUAAAAAUCGUCAUGAUAUUGUAUAUUUCGUGUUAAACAGCACUCACUCGGAGAGAGAGCACACACAAGUCGUGCAACGAACGUCUCGGUGACGUCAACUUCGAUUACAGCCAAAUUCAAUGGCAAGGUCUUUGGCCCCAGCCAGAUCUCCUGGUGGUAUUAAGGUCAAAGACAGCAAGAGCCUUGCCGACUCGUCCGACCGCCACCAACCAGCACUGCAAACCAACGGAAAAAAAAGUCUCGUGCUGUACCGAUCUUUGAUAAGAAAUGGUUGGUAAUCCUAAUUUUAUGCAAGUCCUCGACCAUGUCUGUGACGAAGGAACGAAGGAACGAAGGAACGAAGGAACGAAAGAAGGGCCUUUCGUCAGAUAAUACUCGUGGUCAGGGUUAACAUAGCGUGGGCGCGAAAGGAAGGAGAUAAAUCAUUGACAUGCGCUUGCACAGCACCAAACGCCGCGCAUGUUUACCCGCCUACGGAUAUUAACGAUCGUUUCUAAUCCAUCGUCUUGGACUAAAACCAGCCAGACACUUUCGCGAUCUUCCAACACUCGAAAGCCCUCGUCACUAUCAUUGAUCUUUACAAAGAAAAAAAAUCAACCUAGGCGAUGAAGGAUUCAACGGGGGUAUCCAACGGGAUCUCUAAGAAUAAAUGGUGUAUAUUAAACAACUUUCUUCCUAUUUCCAUGAUCAAUUGGAACUAUUUUAGUUGUCAUAUGACUAGCUGACCCAACAACAUUUCCUUUCAAAUUAUUGCGGAACUAAUAGCUGUAUUCCUUUUGUACCCCAUCCAUCCCUCAUCUCUAUCAGCGAUGUUGAAGGAAAAAAGAAGAAAAAGGGAUAAAUAAAAUGAUAGUGUGAGGAAUAGGGUGAGAAUUGUACAUAUAUACCAGAUCGUUUAUUGGAGUAUAAGCGUCACGAAUCUUGAUAGGGCUUUUGCACCUGUAAUAACAAGUCCAAGAGAUCAUCGCGUGGGCCGAGCUCUACGGAUAGUAAGAAGUGUUGUUGCAUGUGCGUUAGUGUAGUUGUGAUCUUCGAUCGAUACGUUAAACCUCCUAUCUCUUUGUCGGAUUAAUCCUGUUCCUUUACAGCAUCCCUUUUGCCGAUAAAGUCGAGAUAAACAGAAACUUGCUAAGAAGCACGGUGAAAGUGAUCGUAAUUUUUUCUAUGCCUGUUUUUUUUUUUUCCCCCCCAUUUUAUUUCUUUGAAAUCGAUCGAAUAAAAUGUAAGUUUAAUCUUGUCCCCCUCCCUCUGUUUCAAUUGGAAUUUCAAUCCAAUUCUUUUUUAUACCCUCUGGUAAAUCUGUAAAUUCCAAGAAAAAUUAAUCGACAAAUUUAUCGAUACUA
Molecule: long non-coding RNA, 1682 nt
Organism: Polistes dominula (European paper wasp)
Lineage: Eukaryota; Metazoa; Arthropoda; Insecta; Hymenoptera; Vespidae
Source: RefSeq, a predicted model, not a curated record